CUCCUACGGGAGGCAGCAGUGGGGAAUAUUGCACAAUGGGCGAAAGCCUGAUGCAGCGACGCCGCGUGAAGGAUGAAGUAUUUCGGUAUGUAAACUUCUAUCAGCAGGGAAGAAAAUGACGGUACCUGACUAAGAAGCCCCGGCUAACUACGUGCCAGCAGCCGCGGUAAUACGUAGGGGGCAAGCGUUAUCCGGAUUUACUGGGUGUAAAGGGAGCGUAGAUGGCAUGGCAAGUCUGAAGUGAAAGCCCGGGGCUUAACCCCGGGACUGCUUUGGAAACUGUUAAGCUAGAGUGCAGGAGAGGUAAGCGGAAUUCCUAGUGUAGCGGUGAAAUGCGUAGAUAUUAGGAGGAACACCAGUGGCGAAGGCGGCCUACUGGGCACCAACUGACGCUGAGGCUCGAAAGUGUGGGUAGCAAACAGGAUUAGAUACCCUGGUAGUCCACACCGUAAACGAUGAUUACUAGGUGUUGGGUUUCAUAAGAAGCUCGGUGCCGGCGCAAACGC
RNAcentral lists this ribosomal RNA (506 nucleotides) under uncultured bacterium. RNAcentral's name for it is "bacterial SSU rRNA". It matches the Rfam family "Bacterial small subunit ribosomal RNA", at positions 336 to 858 of the family's 1533-position model. The record is from RNAcentral.